Molecule: small nuclear RNA, 122 nt
Filed under: Dasypus novemcinctus (nine-banded armadillo)
Lineage: Eukaryota; Metazoa; Chordata; Mammalia; Cingulata; Dasypodidae
Description: U4 spliceosomal RNA (ENSDNOG00000029896.1)
Source: RNAcentral
AGCUUUGCGCAGUGUCAGUAUUGUAGCCAAUGAGGUUUAUCGGAGAUGCGAUUAUUGCUAAAUUUAAAAAAAAAGAAUGUGGUAGUUUCAUAGCACUUAGCUAUAUUGGCUCUGAUGAAUCA